UUUAUGAUUAUGUUGUGAAUUAAUGAAAAAGCACGAUGAUGAUAGAAAAAUAGAGUCUUUGUUUAUGGUUGAUGAUGUGAAUUGUAAAUGAUGAUGUGAAUUUUGAAUGAUAAGUGAAAUUUCAGUAUGAAUUUUGUACAAUGAAUUGUUGUUAUUUUUUAUUAUGUGUUGGUGCAUGUUGUAAGAGUUUAGAUGUGAUGUUAUUUUGCAGAAUGGGUGACAGUAAUGUGGUGUUCAGAUUUCAUUAUAUGGGAAAAGAUACAGAUAUUGAUGUGGAUGUGGAUACUUGUUUUUGUUGGAUUUGGUGAUUGAAUAUGAGGAUUGUGCUCGUUAUUGGGUUCCUCUACUUGAUAUCCUUAACCCCACCUUUUAUUAUGCCUAUAAAGAGAGACAUUGGCCACUCUUAGAUGAUGAAGACUUGUUGAAAAUGUUUUAAAUGUUUCCCUAAUGAUGGCAUCAUCCAUAUUUGGGUUGUCACUACUAACAAGCCAAGUGCAUUGAAUAGAUAUGUGUUAAAGUUUAGGAAAUCUAAAACUCCUGCAUAUGAACCACCACCGGUUUCUAACCUUAUGCAACCACAACAACCACCCAUAACUUGGAUCUUUGCACCACCACCACCAAUUCAAAACUUGACUGAACCACCCCAACCACAAGUGCUUACUAUAUCUGAACCAUCCCAAUCAGAAGUGCCUACCAUACCUAAACCAUCCCAACCACCAGUGACCAAACUUACAUCUAGGAGGAAUAGUGAGGAGUUGUCUCAGUUGGCAUCAAGUUCAAAUGCACAGUCACUUAAUGAGAUUUAUGUGAAUGAAGAUGAAUUCAUUAUGACUGAUUGUACAUUUGCAGAAUUGCAAGAGGAGUAUUAUGAAAACAGUGAGAAACAAUCUAGAAGGGAAUAUAAUAAGGGUAGGAAAGAAUUUGAAGCUAGUUUGAAAAGGGGGAAAGGCAAGAGUAAGUCUAAGUCCACUAUUACCAACCAGCCCAUGGUCCCCCAAAUGAAAUUACCUCCCUCCCCUGUAUCACCAAACACAGUCUUCAAGACUUUAACCCUUAGAAGGAGUCCAAGAUUUUCUCCUGCUGUAACUGUUCCUGCUACCCCAGUUAGUAAGCCUUCUGAUCCCUUUUUAUUCAAAAGGAGAAUCCCUAAAAGCACAACUAUUAGGAAGGGUAUAUGGGUUAGUUUUUAGACAUUGACUAAACAAGGUGAGUCUAGUAGUGCAGCUGCACAUACACCAGUGAGGAGGAAAAUGAAUUUUGUUGUUGAUGAUGGGGAUGAUCCAGAUGAUGAAAAUGACUCAGAUGGGAAAGAUGAGUCAGAUGACAGUGAUGAGUUCAAGGAGAGUGAUGAGUCAGCUGACUCGGAUGGGGAUAUGAUACCAACUAGAGAUGUUCCAGCUGAUGAGUUGGAGACUGUUAGAAGAUUUCCAAGAGUGAGAGACAGUUGGAUGCCUAGCAAAUGGUAUGGCUUCAUAAAUGAUGACAAUGAUGAUGACUACUUUGAUACUUUAUACAAAAAUGGUGAGAUGUAUGAAGAUAGGGAAUUUGGCAAAAUAAAACUCAGGCAAUGGAUGAUGUUCACUGACAAGGCACACUUCAAGGACACUCUUAAAGACUAUGUUGUGCAGGAAGGUUUUGCAAUCACAGUAGUUUUAAUAGACAACAUGAAGUACACUGCCAUAUGCUCUUUAGAAGCUUGUGAAUGGAGGAUACAUGCUAGGAAGUUACCAGGUGGAAGGACUUGGGCUAUUAAGAAAAACUGGCACAAAUUUCACACAUGCAGGGGGUUGGAAACUUAUAACCCAUAUGUAAUGUCAAAUGGGCUUCUCAGAAGGUCAUGGAAGACAUUAGAGCUAAUCCAGACAUUCCAGGUAAAGCUUUGAAUGAGUUGUUGUUUCUAAGAUAUGGUAUUUAUAUGAAGCAAUCAAAUCUGUAUAGAUUGAAGAGUUAUGUGAUUAAUGAGUUGUUUGGUGGACAUGAUGAAUCAUACUCAAAGCUGCCAUUGUAUGCUAGAGUAAUUAUGCUUACUAAUUCAGAGUCUAAGGCUUUUUGUGCAUGGUAUGAGUUAGAAACUGUUGAGAGACCUAGACUAUUUAAUAGCAUUUUCAUUUCUUUCACUGGACAAUGGAAAGGUAAUCUAAGAGGUUGUAGGCCUUUGAUUGGUGUGGAUGGAACAUGCCUAAAAGGUAACCAUGGAGGGAUCUUACUUUCAGCAGUUGGGUUGGAUGGCAAUAAUGAGAUAUACCCCAUAGCUUAUGCAAUAGUUGGGGUAGAAGACAAUUAAGGAGAGUUGGUCUUUCUUCUUUUGGCAUUUGUUGAAUAUUGUCAAGGACUCUUCGAGGAAAGACUGGACUAUUAUGUCUGAAAAGACAGAAGGGGGUUGAUUUGGCACUUGAGCAAUUAUGGCCAGAAGCAAAAAGGAGGUAUUGAUGUAGGCAUCUAAGUAGGAACUACAAGAAAGUGUUUCUUGGCCCUUUGAUGUACAUACUGUUUUGGAGGGGCUUGUAAAACCACAAAUGCAUUUACUUUCAAAAAGGCUACGGAGAGGUUACAGAAGGAAGGUGGGGAAGAGGUGAUGAAAUGGUUUGCAUUGGGAGAUCAAUCCAAGUGGAGUAAGCACAAGUUUAAUCUAAAUGUUUAAAAUGAUGCAAACACUUUUAACUUUGUGGAAAGCUUUAACUCCACUCUAGGAGUUGACAAGUGUAGGCUUGUUCUAACAUUGUUGAAGGGAUAAGAAGGGUGUGCAUGGUUAGGAUUGUAGCCAAGCAUGAAAAUGGAUUAAAAUGGAAAGAAGAUGAUAUUUGCCCUAAAAUUGCAAAGAUGGUUAAGGAAAUUGGCAAGGCAAGCUCAACAUGCAAGUCUUUCAAGUCAAAACCAGGAGAAUAUGAGAUCCAUGAAGGAAAGUCUCAAUUCCCUAUGAGCCUUAACAGCAAGAUCUGUUCUUGUGGGGCUUGGCAAUUAUCAGGAAUAUCCUGCAGGCAUGCAAUAAGAGAAUUAGUAGAUGCAAAAUGAGACCCCCAUGACUAUGUGAGUUCUUGGUAUUCUGUCAAGACUUAGGCAGGCCUACAGCGUUCACAUCAACCCCAUUCCUGAUAUAGAACAAUGGCCAUAAGAUGACUCCCCUCAUCCUAUAUUGCCUCUAAAAAUGAAGAGAGGGAUAGGUAGGCCUUCUAGGAAUAGAAAGAGAGAAGAAGGAGAGGUGCAACAAGGAAAAAGGUCAUGGACAGUCAAAUGCCAAAAUUGUGGAUGUUUUGGGCACAAUACAAGAACAUGCAAACGGGGUCCAAAUGGAAAAGAGUUAAGAGCAACUGAUGAGCCUAUUGUAAUCAAGAACCCAAGAGUUAGAGACCAGUCUAAUGCAGCAAAGACAGUUAUCUAGGGCAGCAGCAAAAGCAUCUGAGGCUUCAGCAUCUACCAACAAAGGCAAAGGGAAGCAGAAGCAGCCUGCUAAGAAGAAGGGAAGCAGCCUGCCCAAAAGAAAGAAAAAGAGCCUGCUUAGAAGAAAGGAAAGCAGCCUGCUCAAAAGAGAGGAAGGAAAGGAAAAACUCUGAAGCUCCAACUUGAGUGCUUCACAGCUACAAAGUCAGCCAUUUUCCCAGUCUCAGUCUCAGCUGUGAAGACAUUAGUCAAUGAUAGUUUUUUAUUUAGUUGGGAUAAUAAGCUUAGUUUAAUAUGAAAACUUUGGUUUUUGAAUGUAAUGUGCUUGCUUUUGAACACAAAAGUUAGUUUUUGAUGCUAAGAUGGUUUUGAUUGUUAGGUUUUGAACAUAUCAGUUAGCUUUUUAUGCUAAACUUUGCUUUGAUUGUAAUGAACCUGUUUUGGAGGUUAUUGGAUAAUGCAGCAAUUAAAUUGAAGCUUUUAUUG
Molecule: long non-coding RNA, 3864 nt
Organism: Chenopodium quinoa (quinoa)
Lineage: Eukaryota; Viridiplantae; Streptophyta; Magnoliopsida; Caryophyllales; Amaranthaceae
Exons: 3
Source: RefSeq, a predicted model, not a curated record